This is a long non-coding RNA of Carassius gibelio (silver crucian carp), 438 nucleotides long. RefSeq lists it as uncharacterized. The record is from RefSeq and is a predicted model, not a curated record. NCBI's taxonomy places the organism in Eukaryota, Metazoa, Chordata, Actinopteri, Cypriniformes, Cyprinidae. The transcript is spliced from 2 exons.
UCUCUCUUGUUCCGAGGUCACCGUGGCCACCAGAUCCAGUACAUAUCCAGACCAGAUGGUGGAUCAGCACCUAGAAAAGGACCUCUACAUCCCUGAAAGACAGCGGAGACCAGGACAACUAGAGCCCCAGAUACAGAUCCCCUGUAAAUACCUUGUCUCAGAGGACCAUCAGGACAAGACCACAGGAAACAGAUGAUUCUUCUGCACAAUCUGACUUUGCUGCAGCCUGGAAUUUAACUACUGGUUUCGUCUGGUCAGAGGAGAACUGGCCCCCCAACUGAGCCUGGUUUCUCCCAAGGUUUUUUUCUCCAUUCUGUCACCGAUGGAGUUUCGGUUCCUUGCCGCUGUCGCCUCUGGCUUGCUUAGUUGGGGUCACUUCAUCUACAGCGAUAUCAUUGACUUGAUUGCAAAUAAAAACAGACACUAUUUUCAACUGAA